CCAGCAGCCGCGGUAAUACAGAGGGUGCGAGCGUUGUUCGGAAUUAUUGGGCGUAAAGCGCGCGCAGGCGGUCAUGUAAGUCUGGUGUUUAAGCCCGGGCUCAACCCCGGUUCGCAUCGGAAACUGUGUGACUUGAGUGCAGAAGAGGAAAGUGGAAUUCCACGUGUAGCGGUGAAAUGCGUAGAGAUGUGGAGGAACACCAGUGGCGAAGGCGACUUUCUGGACUGUAACUGACGCUGAGGCGCGAAAGCGUGGGGAUCAA
This 262-nucleotide ribosomal RNA is filed under the name uncultured bacterium. RNAcentral describes it as "partial 16S ribosomal RNA". It matches the Rfam family "Bacterial small subunit ribosomal RNA", at positions 508 to 771 of the family's 1533-position model. The record is from RNAcentral.